This 76-nucleotide transfer RNA is filed under the name Myxococcales bacterium. RNAcentral's name for it is "tRNA-His". It matches the Rfam family "tRNA". From Rfam's summary of the family: Transfer RNA (tRNA) molecules are approximately 80 nucleotides in length. The record is from RNAcentral. RNAcentral also lists the same sequence under 1 other name. Lineage: Bacteria; Pseudomonadati; Myxococcota; Myxococcia; Myxococcales.
GUGGCUGUAGUUCAAUAGGUAGAGCCCCGGCUUGUGGUGCCGGUUGUUGCGGGUUCAAGUCCCGUCAGCCACCCCA